This is a long non-coding RNA of Centruroides sculpturatus (bark scorpion), 432 nucleotides long. RefSeq lists it as uncharacterized. The transcript has 3 exons. NCBI's taxonomy places the organism in Eukaryota, Metazoa, Arthropoda, Arachnida, Scorpiones, Buthidae. The record is from RefSeq and is a predicted model, not a curated record.
AUUGUGUGUAAAUGUAUUGGUGUUCUUCGGUAGUUCACCUAUCAUGAUGAUUUUUGCGACGUCAUGUUGUCCACGUCACUAUCGACUUGGUUGAGAUGGUAUUUACCAUCACCAGUGAUAAAUACUGUAUUUAAAUUUCUGCCAUUUCACUGUUGACAAUCAUGAAGUUACUCGUAACAAUUUUGAUCUGCUUUAUCCUAAGUCUUCAGGAAUAUCAACAAGUUAAUGGUGCAAGUGUAAAAUCUUUUAUUACCAAGCGGUCAUGCAUCUCGCUAUAUCAACACUGUAAUCCAUUUUCUGGGGAUCCAUGUUGCAAAGGAAUAUGUAGAUGCCCACCGAAACUCCAUUGUCAAUGCACUACAUGGAAAUAAAAGUUUCUAAAAUGUACUGUAUGGAAAACAAUCCGUUCAAAAGUUAAAAAAUAAAAUAAAA